GCCGCCCACGGCGCGGCGGCAGGCGCGGGCGGGGGGAGGGAGGCUGGAGUGCUCGGAGGCCGCGGUGGGGCCAGGGGUGGGCGCGGCGGAGGGGGUGCGGCCGGCGGCCAACCCCCUGCGCGUCGCACUCGAGAGACGGACGCGCACGCGCUGCAUCCUCGCGCCCACGCGCUUGCCGUCGUCGUCGCCCCGCUCAUCCCGCCCCCCGCUCACGGCCAACGUCACCCCCUCCGACUACCGCACAUCGCGCCAAUGCCCCCGCCCGCCGCAAAUCGCGCCGCCACCCCCGCCUGCCGCACAGCACUGCCCCCAUCCGAAGUGCCACCGCCGCGCGACUGUACUACCGCGCUCGACCCUCCCGCAGGCAGUCCCGCCGUGACGCCCGACGCCGCGACGCUGUCCCCGCCGCGGAUUCCCCACGGGCGCGACGCCCGACGCCACGGCGGCCGCCAUCUCCGCCGCCGAUCCCCCACGCGCGGCGCGCGCGACUCCGGCCGCACCGUCGUGACUACCAUCGUUCCCGACGGCCCGCGCGCGACUCCCGCAUCCCCCACGCGUCGGCAGCAAAGGGUGAGGGCGGACGAUGAAAGCUCAUGAGAAGGCGAGGCGAGGGGAUGCAGCCCAAGAUUAGCGGGUUCUUCAAGCGGAAGAAAUGGCCCCCAGAUCCAAACAGUGGCGAUGGCGAGGGCCACGGGCAGGGAAGAGGCGGCAGCGCCGCAGCGGAGGAGAAGCGGAAGCCCAAGGGCGGCGGGCGCGGCAAGCUUGUUAGCAAGAAGAGGAGCUAUGCGUAGUUUCAUCUGGAGCUAGGGUGACCUGAUUUCGUCCUCCACACCUGCUCUGUCUGCAGCAUGAUGUACGCCCAUGGGAACGACAAUGGCGAAAAGGUUCACAAGGCUUACCAUAAGAGAUACUUCGAGGGAGUCCCGUUCAAGGUCUUGUCGCUCACUUGCUCUCUGCAUCAUAGUCUUGUUGCGUGCAUCUUUGGAGAGCGUCUUACUAACCGAUUAGCUGCAGAGCUAGCACAAUGAAACUGUGAUUGCAAGGUCUGAAGGCGGAGACCGGGUAAUUCUCACGAUUGAUGAAAAACUCUCAUAUGUGGAAUAUUGACAGGUCAAGGAGGUGAUCACAGUGGAGGAGAAGGAGCUGGGAUUUGCUGAAGGGAAACUCCUGCAUAAACUUUGCCAGGUAAUUACAUACUAUUGGUUCCUUUAUGAUAAUUUCUGCAGUAUAUUUAUCUUAUUUGGUAAUAAAAUCAAAUAAUCUUUUCAUUUGUGGCAUAUGGAAUUUCAUCAAUGGUACGGUCAGUUUUGAAUCGCAGCAGAAACAAGAGGUUGUGAUUGAGUUUUUGUGUGAUGAUCAUGUCAGUCCAUUAGAGUUAGGUACUGUAAUUUGGAUGCCAAGACCUUUUAGGUGCAAGGGGAUACAGGAUUGUCUUCAUUGAUGUUGAAUUAAUUUGAUGAAAAACUUGGACUUAGGUUAUGGUUGAUUUAAUUAGAUGCUCCUUUCCUGACCUGAUGUGCUCAAGUUUCAUCAGUUACGUACUCUGCUUAAUAGUAGCAAAUAUGACUUGUAUCAGUUUCAUAUAGUUUAUCAUGGAACCUGGUGUGCUCAGCCUGCAUACAGAGGUACAUUAUCUUUUAUUAGCAGCCAUUUUCAUGUUUAUAUAGGUUUUAGUAGCAUCAAGCAUCUCAACUACAUGAUAUUCUUAUCUGAUUCACUCAUAUUUUUUCUCAGGAAUGAUCGGCCUAAUUUAAAGUUCACUUCUUUUUUAUACCAACGAAGAUUUGUUUCCUUAUAUUACAUUUCUGGGUAAAUGCGUAAUGCAUGCCCAUAACCUGAUGCUAUUGUGCAAGUAUUUAAGUUCAUCUUCUCAGAUUUGGGUCCAUGAUAGUUGAGACAUUUGUUCAUGUGGCCUUAUCUCUCUGCAAACUCCUGAGUAAUGGUUUUAGGAUGGCAUGGCCAUAGAGAAAAGCUAUCAGGUUCACAUGGAUAACAAACUCAUCUUGAAAAAAUUGAUCAGAAUUCGAGUAGGAAUCCAGGCGGGAUCAUAUGCAGGAGAUGGUCACCGUUUGUUUGUUUAAGUGUGGAGAAGGUUGAUGAGUAAUGAAUCAAGAAUGACACGAAGAAAGACAUAGUGAAAAUGCCUCUAACCUGCAGGAGUAUGAGCCUUCGAUGAGAUCAUGCAUAUUUUAUAUUGGGUGGCUAUGGUCCGUCGCCCUCCCCCUCACUCCAAGAGUCCAGACAUUUGCCUCCGUCGUCGCACCAUCCCACCAAGCUCCCACCGUGCGUGGCAUGCCUCCCCACCAACCGCCGCUUUGCUGUAAACCCGCAGCCGCGCCGUCGCCCCAGUUCUGCCACGAGAUGCCGCGCCGAGUUACAUCGGAAAGGUGUUUGCCAUGUCUCGCGUUAUGGCGGCAUGGCAGCCAAUAGGCGUAUCAAUGGGAGUUUUUGACAUGUGCCAUAGGUGUAUAUCACAUCACCAUAUCUGCUUUUAGUUUAUUCAUUCUGAUCUAUGUAAGACUCCCAAUAUCUCUCCAUCUGUAGUUAUCUUUUUGAAAGAAAUAAAGAAAGCAAUUUGGAGCUCCAGUGGAAGCUUUUCAGCUCAACCAAGAAAAGCUUGUUCGGAUGCUCGGCAACAUUCAGACCAUGGUUCUCGUUGGCUGGCGACUGUGAGUCAGGCAAAAUGGCAUCAGGCCAUAGUAGUUUAGGCAAGGUUUGUAAGUUGCAAUAUAGCCAGCAAUGGUUGAACGGUUCGCUCAUCUUGAGCCCGGUGAUGUUUUCAUAAUUAGUUUUUUUUCCCGAGGACCAGGCCAAAGUUAUAUGCCGACUAUAUCAGAAAGAAGAUUGAGGUUGCCAGAGCUAUUCGAAUCAUU
Long non-coding RNA from Panicum virgatum (switchgrass), 2873 nucleotides. RefSeq lists it as uncharacterized. The transcript is spliced from 6 exons. The record is from RefSeq and is a predicted model, not a curated record. NCBI's taxonomy places the organism in Eukaryota, Viridiplantae, Streptophyta, Magnoliopsida, Poales, Poaceae.